AGUGAACGCUGGCGGCGUGCCUAAUCCAUGCAAGUCGAAUGAAGUGGCGCACGGGUGAGUAUAAUAUAGCUAAUUUGCCCUACACAGAGGAACAACAGCUGGAAACGACUGCUAAUAUCUCAUAGUGUAGGAUGAGACUAUAUCGUAACAUCGAGUUGGUAAGGUAAUGGCUAACCAAGGCUAUGACGCAUAAUUUGUCUGAGAGGCUGAUCAGAAGCAUUGGAAAUGAAACACGGUGCAAACUCCUACGGAAGGCAGCAGUAAGGAAUAUUGCGCUAUGGGGGAAACCCUGACGCAGAAACGCCGCGUGGAGGAAGUCACUGUUCGGAGAGGAAACUCCUUAUAUCAGGGAAGCGGUACCUGAUGAAUAAGCACCGGCGAGCUACGUGCCAGCAGCCGCGGUGAUAC
This 408-nucleotide ribosomal RNA is filed under the name uncultured bacterium. RNAcentral describes it as "partial 16S ribosomal RNA". It matches the Rfam family "Bacterial small subunit ribosomal RNA", at positions 29 to 526 of the family's 1533-position model. The record is from RNAcentral.